Molecule: ribosomal RNA, 738 nt
Filed under: uncultured Gammaproteobacteria bacterium
Lineage: Bacteria; Pseudomonadati; Pseudomonadota; Gammaproteobacteria
Description: bacterial SSU rRNA
Rfam family: Bacterial small subunit ribosomal RNA
Source: RNAcentral
AUGACGCUGGCGGCAGGCUACACUGCAGUUUAACGGUAACAGGAUGUGCUUGCACAUCGCUUAACGAGUGGCGGACGGGUGAGUAAUGCUUAGGGAUCUGCCUCUGUGUGGGGGAUAACUAUUGGAAACGAUAGCUAAUACCGCAUAAUGUUUACGGACCAAAGGGGGCGUUUGCUCCCGCGCAGAGAGGAACCUAAGUGAGAUUAGCUAGUUGGUAAGGUAAUGGCUUACCAAGGCGACGAUCUCUAGCUGUUCUGAGAGGAAGAUCAGCCACACUGGGACUGAGACACGGCCCAGACUCCUACGGGAGGCAGCAGUGGGGAAUAUUGCACAAUGGGGGGAACCCUGAUGCAGCCAUGCCGCGUGUGUGAAGAAGGCCUUCGGGUUGUAAAGCACUUUCAGUUGUGAGGAAAGGUUAGUAGUUAAUACCUGCUAGCUGUGACGUUAGCAACAGAAGAAGCACCGGCUAACUCCGUGCCAGCAGCCGCGGUAAUACGGAGUGGUGCGAGCGUUAAUCGGAAUUACUGGGCGUAAAGCGCACGCAGGGCGGUUUGUUAAGCUAAGAUUGUGAAAGCCCCGAGCUCAAACUUUGGGAUGGUCAUUUAGAACUUGGCAGACUAAGAGUCUUUGGGACGAGGGGAGUGGAAUUUCUAAGGUUGUAGCGGUGAAAUGCGUAGCAUUUCACAAGGCAACCUCAGUGGCGAAGGCGACUCCCUGGGCCAAGACUGACGUCAUGUG